This 743-nucleotide long non-coding RNA is filed under the name Equus caballus (horse). Its description in RNAcentral is "lncRNA (ENSECAG00000046373.1)". Lineage: Eukaryota; Metazoa; Chordata; Mammalia; Perissodactyla; Equidae. The record is from RNAcentral.
GCUGCACGUCCAAUACAGUAGUCACUCCACAUGUGGCUGUUGAACACCAGAAAUGUGGCCAGCAUGACUGAGCUUUACUGUUUUGAUAGGACUACACUUGAUUUCAGCUGUGACAUCAUGUGAGACAUUAGUGUUGCAGAGCACAUGUCAGCACAGAGAUCCUCUAAAGAGUUUUACAAGCCUGCCUACACAAACGGACACAUCUCUGAAGAUAUACCUGUCUCCCCAAGCCGUGGACAUUUACAAUGAAACCUUUCAACUCUGAGCCUUUUGCAACCAUGAUUUCAAAACAGAAGACACAGGUUCGGGAAUAGACCAUAAAUACUCCAAACAGGACUUCCACAGGGCUUCUCUGCUACCAGGAGAUGGCCUACGGCUGGUGAGGGAGUCUGCGUGGGACAUGAUUAAUAAGAGACCUUUGGGAGACAGAAAUGUUCUGUAAACAGCAAUGUAGGUAGAUCUGAAGAUCAAUAGCUUUGGGGAAACUGAAAGUCUAAAAUUUACUCAGGUCUACUUUUUGUUUAUUUCUUUAAUGCACAGAUAUUCCGAGAUUUCACUUUACCAGCAUCUUCAUUUUAAAUAACAUCCAUACACAACCUGAACUGCAGAAGUUUAGAAACUAAAUGCCUAUCUGUCCCUCUAUUUAAUUAACAAACACAUUCACAUCUAACCAUCGCGGAUCUUGAGUGACUUUCCUUUCUUCCAUACGUGAACAUAAUAAAGUGCCCCUCCGCUCCCAUGCC